Molecule: long non-coding RNA, 1852 nt
Organism: Gasterosteus aculeatus aculeatus (three-spined stickleback)
Lineage: Eukaryota; Metazoa; Chordata; Actinopteri; Perciformes; Gasterosteidae
Source: Ensembl
CCAAACAAUUCACCUCACGCUCCGCACACUCAGCACUCCUUCCGCUCAGAGAGAGAGAGAGAGAGAGAGAGAGAGAGACACAGAGAGAGACAGACAGAGAGACACAGAGAGACACAGGGAGAGACAGACAGAGAGACACAGGGAGAGACAGAGAGAGACACAGAGAGACACAGAGAGAGACACAGGGAGAGACAGACAGAGAGAGACACAGAGAGACACAGAGAGAGACAGACAGAGAGACACAGGUCACUCAGGGACGUCCCAGACGUCCACUAGGUGGAGCUGUUUGUGUGUUUACCUGUUUACAGCCACACACCUUUCCUAACAGCCAGCGGGGUCUGAUUCUCCUCACGUGUCCUCUGACGAGCCACCAGGGGUCUCUCGUCAUAACAACAUCUGCAUCAUGUCUUCAUGUCUGCACGUCGGGUUCAACAGCAAUGGACGUCUCUUUGGAUUAAUCAUCUGCUCCAUCGAUCAAAUGAAGUUCUGCUGUUCCGUCUCCCUCCCUCCAGACUUUGUGAAUGUUUGUGUUUUUCAGCUUUGAAAACAAAGAUCAUCCGUUCCGUUGACGUGACGACGCCUCCGUGAUUCACAGGCGGCGAGCUAUUUAAAGAAGGCAUGAGCUCAUGUAGCGAUGACGUCAUCACUCCGGCGGAGGGAAGAAGCCCGACGUCUGAUGGGAGCAGGAAGUGAGACCGUGCGACGUCAUGGCGACCAGCUGCUUCUGUGACUUUGAUCUCUUUGAAGGCUGUAGAACCCUCAGAGGACAUGGUGGCCGUUUGACAAAUUAAGCCAAAGUUCUAGGGUUUUUUUCUGAGGGAGCAAAGAGGAACCGAUAGUUCUCGUUCUCCUUCUAGUUCUCCUAUAGAACGGAUGAACCCCAAAAUCUGAAGAACCUUUUUGAAACACCUCUUCAGAAGCUGUCAAUAUCCUCUCUGAGAUUCACAGAACCUCUUAAAAUAACCCUCUUUGGAUCUGCCCCGUAGAACCCUAUCUGAACAGCAAUAACAACCUCUUAGAACCUGAAACUCUUGUUCCUUGUCACCAGAACCCGUUGAAUCCGUUGAUUUGUUUACUGUCCAUCUAACCUUGUCAUUUCUAAAUCCAAACGCACUGUAAAAAAACCCUCAUAUUCCUUCCAGAACUCUUUAGACUCUCAAAAAUAACCCCACAGAAAAUCCACUGAAUCUCUGAAUCAUUUAGAUCUCAGCUCCUUCACAAAGGAACCCUUUUAUUCUCCUCAAGACUACCUGAAGUAAGCUGAAGGUCCUGAGACUCAUUCCUCGGUGAAACCACAAUGACAGACUGGAGGAAAGAGGGGGCUGAUGGGUUUGGAAAUGAGAGGGUCACGCUUGGAAGAGAAGGUUUUUUCAGGGCGAUGACAGGAUGACUGUGAGGAUAACAAAGAGGACCUUCUCAAGCAGAUGUCUUAAGUUAGAACCAGGAGGGCCUGGUGUUUAACCUUUUCGGGCUCGUGGGAAAUUAUGCUUGUUAGAGGCCACUCUUGGUCUUAUCCGUCGCCAUCUUGGUUUCUAUUUGUCAACAUCGUGUUUAUUUUCAUCCACAUUUGAGAUAAUGGAGGUUGAUCCAACUGAACACUGGUCAAAACAACUGAGGACAAAUAUCAACUUUGAUGAACUGGAAACAAACAACAAAGUUAAAGCUGUGACAAAAGAGAUUAGAGACCUGUCAAUCAACGGAGAAGUAGAGUCAUUUCCUCAUAGACGUCUAUGGGAGCAGAGGAGUCGCCCCCUGCUGGUCACUACAGAGAAGUAGAGUCAUUUCCUCAUAGACGUCUAUGGGAGCAGAGGAGUCGCCCUCUGCUGGUCACUACAGAGAAGUAGAGUCAUUU